UGGGGAAUCUUGGACAAUGGGCGAAAGCCUGAUCCAGCCAUGCCGCGUGAGUGAUGAAGGCCCUAGGGUCGUAAAGCUCUUUCAGUGGGGAAGAUAAUGACGGUACCCACAGAAGAAGCCCCGGCUAACUCCGUGCCAGCAGCCGCGGUAAUACGGAGGGGGCUAGCGUUGUUCGGAAUUACUGGGCGUAAAGCGCGCGUAGGCGGACUUUCAAGUCAGGGGUGAAAUCCCGAGGCUCAACCUCGGAACUGCCUUUGAUACUGAUGGUCUUGAGUCCGAGAGAGGUGAGUGGAAUUCCUAGUGUAGAGGUGAAAUUCGUAGAUAUUAGGAAGAACACCAGUGGCGAAGGCGGCUCACUGGCUCGGUACUGACGCUGAGGCGCGAAAGCGUGGGGAGCAAACAGGAUUAGAUACCCCGGUAGUCC
This 424-nucleotide ribosomal RNA is filed under the name uncultured prokaryote. RNAcentral's name for it is "bacterial SSU rRNA". It matches the Rfam family "Bacterial small subunit ribosomal RNA", at positions 355 to 796 of the family's 1533-position model. The record is from RNAcentral.